This 482-nucleotide ribosomal RNA is filed under the name uncultured bacterium. RNAcentral's name for it is "partial 16S ribosomal RNA". It matches the Rfam family "Bacterial small subunit ribosomal RNA", at positions 30 to 507 of the family's 1533-position model. The record is from RNAcentral.
AUUGAACGCUGGCGGCAUGCCUUACACAUGCAAGUCGAACGGUAACAGGUCUUCGGAUGCUGACGAGUGGCGCACGGGUGCGUAAUACAUCGGAACGUGCCUAGUAGUGGGGGAUAACUACUCGAAAGAGUGGCUAAUACCGCAUGAGAUCUACGGAUGAAAGCAGGGGAUCGCAAGACCUUGUGCUACUAGAGCGGCCGAUGGCAGAUUAGGUAGUUGGUGGGAUAAAAGCUUACCAAGCCGACGAUCUGUAGCUGGUCUGAGAGGACGAUCAGCCACACUGGGACUGAGACACGGCCCAGACUCCUACGGGAGGCAGCAGUGGGGAAUUUUGGACAAUGGGCGCAAGCCUGAUCCAGCAAUGCCGCGUGCAGGAUGAAGGCCUUCGGGUUGUAAACUGCUUUUGUACGGAACGAAAAGCCCUGGGUUAAUACCCUGGGGUCAUGACGGUACCGUAAGAAUAAGCACCGGCUAACUACGUG